UACGGGGGGGGGCAAGCGUUGUUCGGAAUUACUGGGCGUAAAGGGCGCGUAGGUGGCCAACUAAGUCAGACGUGAAAUCCCUCGGCUUAACCGGGGAACUGCGUCUGAUACUGGAUGGCUUGAGUUUGGGAGAGGGACGCGGAAUUCCAGGUGUAGCGGUGAAAUGCGUAGAUAUCUGGAGGAACACCGGUGGCGAAGGCGGCGUCCUGGACCAAUACUGACACUGAAACGCGAAAGCCAGGGGAGCAAACGGG
Molecule: ribosomal RNA, 254 nt
Filed under: uncultured bacterium
Lineage: Bacteria
Description: partial 16S ribosomal RNA
Rfam family: Bacterial small subunit ribosomal RNA
Source: RNAcentral